AAGCCGAAUUAAGGUGAAACCGCGAAAGGCUCAUUAAAUCAGUUAUGGUUCCUUAGAUCUUACCACUUUCCACUUGGAUACCUGUGGUAAUUCUAGAGCUAAUACAUGCAAACAGAGCUCCGACCGGGGACGGGAGGAGUGCUUUUAUUACAACAAAACCAAUCGGCGGGCGGCCUCGCGCCGUCCGUCGUACAACAUGGUGAAUCUGAAUAACUUGGCUGAUCGCGCACGGUCCAGCACCGGCGACGUAUCUUUCAAAUGUCUGCCUUAUCAACUGUCGAUGGUAGGCACUGCGCCUACCAUGGUUGUAACGGGUAACGGGGAAUCAGGGUUCGAUUCCGGAGAGGGAGCCUGAGAAACGGCUACCACAUCCAAGGAAGGCAGCAGGCGCGCAAAUUACCCACUCCCGGCACGGGGAGGUAGUGACGAAAAAUAACGAUACGGGACUCAUCCGAGGCCCCGUAAUCGGAAUGAGUACACUUUAAAUCCUUUAACAAGGAUCAAUUGGAGGGCAAGUCUGGUGCCAGCAGCCGCGGUAACUCCAGCUCCAAUAGCGUAUAUUAAAGUUGUUGCGGUUAAAAAGCUCGUAGUCGAAUCUGUGUCCCGCGCCGCCGGUUCAUCGCUCGCGGUGUUCAACUGGCGGGCCCGCGGGACGUCCUGCCGGUGAGCUCAGCCCUCGAGGGGGCGGCUCAACUUGUACACCCGUCGCGGUGCUCUUCACUGAGUGUCGAGGUGGGCCGGCACGAUUACUUUUGAACAAAUUAGGGUGCUUAAAGCAGGCUAAAACUUUGCCUGAAUACUGUGUAUAUGGAAUAAUGGAAUAGGACCUCGGUUCUAUUUUGUUGGUUUUCGGAGCCCCGAGGUAAUGAUUAAUAGGAACGGAUGGGGGCAUUCGUAUUGCGACGUUAGAGGUGAAAUUCUUGGAUCGUCGCAAGACGGACUUAAGCGAAAGCAUUUGCCAAAAACGCUUUCAUUGAUCAAGAACGAAAGUUAGAGGUUCGAAGGCGAUCAGAUACCGCCCUAGUUCUAACCAUAAACUAUGCCAGCUAGCGAUCCGCCGACGUCCCUCUGAUGACUCGGCGGGCAGCUUCCGGGAAACCAAAGCUUUUGGGUUCCGGGGGAAGUAUGGUUGCAAAGCUGAAACUUAAAGGAAUUGACGGAAGGGCACCACCAGGAGUGGAGCCUGCGGCUUAAUUUGACUCAACACGGGACAACUCACCAGGCCCGGACACUGGGAGGAUUGACAGAUUGAUAGCUCUUUCUUGAUUCAGUGGGUGGUGGUGCAUGGCCGUUCUUAGUCGGUGGAGCGAUUUGUCAGGUUAAUUCCGAUAACGGACGAGACUCUAACCUGAUAACUAGACGCAGACACGGCAUCUCAAAGGUCCGCCGGCGCGGGCCUCGCGUCCGUCGCCGUGCGCGAUUUUUACUGCCGGCGUAAAAUCAAUUCUUCUUAGAGGGACAAGCGGCUCCUAGCCGCACGAGAUUGAGCAAUAACAGGUCUGUGAUGCCCUUAGAUGUUCUGGGCCGCACGCGCGCUACACUGAAGGAAUCAGCGUGUCCUCCCUGGCCGAAAGGCCCGGGUAACCCGCUGAACCUCCUUCGUGCUAGGGAUUGGGGCUUGCAAUUGUUCCCCAUGAACGAGGAAUUCCCAGUAAGCGCGAGUCAUAAGCUCGCGUUGAUUACGUCCCUGCCCUUUGUACACACCGCCCGUCGCUACUACUGAUUGAAUGAUUUAGUGAGGUCUUCGGACCGGUGCGCGGGGGCGUUCCGACGUCGCCGAUGUUGCUGGGAAGAUGACCAAACUUGAUCAUUUAGAAGAAGUAA
RNAcentral lists this ribosomal RNA (1824 nucleotides) under Cafius luteipennis. RNAcentral's name for it is "SSU rRNA". It matches the Rfam family "Eukaryotic small subunit ribosomal RNA". The record is from RNAcentral. Lineage: Eukaryota; Metazoa; Arthropoda; Insecta; Coleoptera; Staphylinidae.